GUUCCUGUAGCACAAUGGAUAGCGUAUUGGACUUAAAAUCUAAAGGUCGUGGGUUCGAAUUCCACCAGGAAUG
Non-coding RNA from Trichonephila inaurata madagascariensis, 73 nucleotides. NCBI's taxonomy places the organism in Eukaryota, Metazoa, Arthropoda, Arachnida, Araneae, Nephilidae. The record is from the annotation of a GenBank genome assembly.